This is a long non-coding RNA of Thunnus maccoyii (southern bluefin tuna), 635 nucleotides long. RefSeq lists it as uncharacterized. The record is from RefSeq and is a predicted model, not a curated record. Lineage: Eukaryota; Metazoa; Chordata; Actinopteri; Scombriformes; Scombridae. The transcript has 4 exons.
AGGGCUUUGUGUUGUGUUUACGUCUUGCUACAGGAACGGUCGAGGCUGUACUGGUGUGUCUCUUAUUCUUAAAAAAAAAAACAGGAGACGGAGACUGCCGGUAUUAAAUUCAUCCCAUCUUCUGUGUUUCUGUGAGUGCACCCAGGUGAAAGGCACUCCUCCAGAAAAACAGUUCAUCGAGGGUUCAUGGAGGACAUUGUGAGCUGCUAAAGAUGUGUGUUUAAGUGCUCUUACCCAUACUGCUUCUUCCUGCAACAAGGCAGCACCCAGGAAAAGAUAUUUGAGCUCAUGCAGUCCUCCCAGAUGAACCUGGAAGGAGAUGAUGGUGGUGGAGGAUCUGGUCCAGCAGAAGAAGCAGGACUUCCUGGCAUCAGUGGCUCGUGGCUCCCAUCGACUCCCCCUGAGCCUCCCCGCAGGAAACGGGGAGUCAUCACUCCGUAGUGGAAGCAGGAGAUCAAAAGGAGAGACUGUCACAGGAUUAUGCUGUCAUCCAGUACCGUCGUAGACACAGGCCUCAGCGCGGAUGAGAUAUGCUGAGUCUGCAAAAUCUUAGAAGCAGCAGCAACACAUCAGAGACCAGCAGGACAUCUGGCAAAUAUUUGAAUGCAUGAAAAGCUUUAUUACAAAAAGAAAUG